This 1112-nucleotide long non-coding RNA is filed under the name Cervus hanglu yarkandensis (Yarkand deer). Its description in RNAcentral is "lncRNA (ENSCHYG00000024174.1)". The record is from RNAcentral. Lineage: Eukaryota; Metazoa; Chordata; Mammalia; Artiodactyla; Cervidae.
GUUAAAUCAGCUGAAUUUUAAUCUAACACAGGAGAAUUUUAAUGAACAAAGUGUGCAAGAUAUAUUUCAGACAUACAGAAAAACAAAUACAUGUAAAUUUUUAAAAAUUAAUUUUCCCCACAUUGAUUUGUGUGAGUGAAAAUUACUAAUAAAAUAUAAGAAGGAGGAUUUGCCAGUUAUUGAUGAGGGUAUAUGAAAUGGGCAUAUGCCUGCAAACCAGUGAUUUCCAGCCUCUGGUCAGAAAUAUCCAUGUUCCUUGAAGAUAUAUCUGGAAAUUUCUGAAGCAUUUAAGAAAAGAACUCAAUAAAAGGAGAGACAUACCAUGUCCUGAAAACAGAUUUAAAGAUUAUAAGUCAUGUUCCCUAAAACAGUGUACAGUUUUAGUGUGAUCCCAACCAACAUCCUUAGUGAACUAUUUUAAUGAAGCAUGACCAGCUGGGUUUUAAAUUUAUCUACCAAGGUAAGAUGCAGAGAAGGCAAGAAAAAAAAAAAAAAAACAUGGUGAAAUAGUUUAAAUCAGACUUUUUUUUUAAGUAAAGUGAUUUACAACCUUUUUUUUUUUUCAAGAAAUCGCCACCCUAAGGGAAAUUAACAGACACUUGUUGCUAAUUCACUUUCAAGUUAUUUAAAAAGGAACAUUUCUACCCUUUUAUACUUCAGCAAUUUAAUCUGGCAAUUCUCCCUCCCCUAAUUCAGAGAAGGACCGUCUGUCUUCAUCACAGGGAGGGGGCACAGCGUUCUCUGAGAAGCUUCGGAGUGAGCUGUGCCUGGCCAGUCUUGGGGGAGGAGCAGCAUUUCACUGAGCUGCAGCUGACAAGAAGCUUCAAGACAGCCUGUCUCUUUUUGCAGUAAGAAUCAAGACAACCAGAUCACAGAGCCAGACCCUUCCUGAUCCACGUGACUUUGGUAUCUUCCAUAUUGUCCAUUCAAACAACGUGUUCAAGCAUCCUUGGGAAGUUCAGCUGGAGGAGAACAGGCCACACAAGCUAUAAACACUUUGUAACUCUUUGUAGUCUUAAAAGGGGCAUUGGUCAAAGUAUUGUUUGUGGUAGGGACUUCCUUCACAGUGACAAGAAUAGCCAGACACAUAAGUCUCUGAUAUUAACCUCUUG